Molecule: long non-coding RNA, 697 nt
Organism: Glossina fuscipes
Lineage: Eukaryota; Metazoa; Arthropoda; Insecta; Diptera; Glossinidae
Exons: 3
Source: RefSeq, a predicted model, not a curated record
UUAUUAAUAAGAAUCAUUCCGUCCACACUUUCCUCUUUUUUUGAAUGUUUAGUUACGAAGAAAUUGUAAAUACUUAAUCAAUGUGAUUGGGAAUGACAAUUUAAAACAUAUUUCUUGCAAAAUUGUGCGUUUACAAGUUAAUCUUUAUAUGCUAAUAGGAUGUUAUCGCUUAUAUGCAAAGCACAGCGAACUAAUUUUGUCUUUUUUGCAAUUACUCUAUGUGAGUAUUAAAGCAGUUAAACACUUCAGACAGCGGGCACGUAAACAUAGUUAGUUGCUGUAGAGUUGUUUUCACCAAAUCCAAUUCGGUUUGUAAGAAGGAAGACGGCACAACAAAUUCUUAAAUAUUAGGCAGAAUGCUUCGACACAUCAUUCUUUACCAUAGUGGUGGAAGAGGAUGGACUUAUAUUGGCAUGGCAUGGCAGCGAUGGCCCAUCAUGCCCCUUAUGUUGCUUGAAGCUAUAUUUCUGUGAAAGUUUCGAGUGCCGAAAGCAGGUCUCAAGCACGUGCCAUAAAUAAAACGAUGCUUUAAGGACAACAUGCAUACCGCUGCUUAUCCUCUUUUUUUUUUAAAUAAAUUAAAUAAUAUACAUUUUUUAUUCUUUCUACUUCGUUAAUUUCUACUUCAUUUUGCCAGCUGAACCAACAAACAGAAGCCAACGAUUAAACUUUUCAAAUAAGAAAUCAUAUAUGUAAA